UACGAAGGGGGCUAGCGUUGUUCGGAAUUACUGGGCGUAAAGCGUGCGCAGGCGGUUGUGCAAGACAGAUGUGAAAUCCCCGGGCUCAACCUGGGAACUGCAUUUGUGACUGCACGGCUAGAGUGUGUCAGAGGGGGGUAGAAUUCCACGUGUAGCAGUGAAAUGCGUAGAGAUGUGGAGGAAUACCGAUGGCGAAGGCAGCCCCCUGGGAUAGCACUGACGCUCAUGCACGAAAGCGUGGGGAGCAAACAGG
This 253-nucleotide ribosomal RNA is filed under the name uncultured bacterium. RNAcentral describes it as "partial 16S ribosomal RNA". It matches the Rfam family "Bacterial small subunit ribosomal RNA", at positions 524 to 776 of the family's 1533-position model. The record is from RNAcentral.